RNAcentral lists this ribosomal RNA (440 nucleotides) under uncultured bacterium. RNAcentral's name for it is "partial 16S ribosomal RNA". It matches the Rfam family "Bacterial small subunit ribosomal RNA", at positions 338 to 795 of the family's 1533-position model. The record is from RNAcentral.
CCUACGGGUGGCAGCAGUGGGGAAUAUUGCACAAUGGGGGAAACCCUGAUGCAGCGACGCCGCGUGAGUGAAGAAGUAUUUCGGUAUGUAAAGCUCUAUCAGCAGGGAAGAAAAUGACGGUACCUGAUUAAGAAGCCCCGGCUAACUACGUGCCAGCAGCCGCGGUAAUACGUAGGGGGCAAGCGUUAUCCGGAUUUACUGGGUGUAAAGGGAGCGUAGACGGCAGCACAAGUCUGGAGUGAAAUGCCGGGGCUUAACCCCGGAACUGCUUUGGAAACUGGGCAGCUAGAGUGCAGGAGGGGUUAGGGGAAUUCCUAGUUGAGCGGUGAAAUGCGGAGGUAUUAGGAGGAACACCAGUGGCGAAGGCCGCUUAAUGGACUGUAACUGACGUUGAGGCUCGAAAGCGGGGGGAGCAAACAGGAUUAGAUACCCUGGUAGUC